Molecule: long non-coding RNA, 738 nt
Filed under: Homo sapiens (human)
Lineage: Eukaryota; Metazoa; Chordata; Mammalia; Primates; Hominidae
Description: HSALNT0249467
Source: RNAcentral
UAGAAUCUGCAUGUGGCAAGGCAGUUCCUUACGAUGCUGAGUCAUUGGCAGCAGCGAUUCCAGGCUUUAGAUCUUAACUGCUACUAAUGAAAAUUCUCUUACGGCUUUCGGUGACCUCUGCCUAGGUCUUUGAACAUCUCUCAUCUCUUAGUGUUUAUUUCUAAAUAGCGUCUUUUUGAGAAGGAAGAUGGGAACAGAAUACCUAAUAACUCACUCUAGAGAGUGAGUCUUUGCCUUACAGUUUCAUGGUAUCGGCACUAAAUUUACUUUCUGGUGUUUGCGAGAAACAGAACAUUAAUUGAGCAGCUACCGUGUGUUAAGAGAACCUAUCCUCGGGAAUUCAUAAUUGAAAGAAGAACAUGAGCUGAUGGCAAUUUUCAUCUAACGAAUGGAUCUCUUACACAUCCCGUGAUCAUCAAAGAAGGAGAUUUUAUGUGGGAAUGUCUUCUGAGAACAAAGCAGAAAAAACACUGAUAAGAAUUACUGAACAUCAAACUAUGGCUCAUUGCACUGAUUCCAAUGAUAUUCAUUCAAAAGAGGUACCUCUAAGUGAAAAGAAAAACAGAUUACUUUGUCUCUUUCACCGGAAUCAAGCCACGAAUGAUGGAAGCAAACAACAAAGGCUGGCCCAGAAUCGAAUAGAGGUAAAUUAAACUGCCAAACCUCAUCAAAGAGAACUAGCUAAAUAAUUAUAGUACAUAUACAAGCUGCAAUUCUAUAUAGCUAUUAGAAAACGAG